AGCAGCCGCGGUAAUUCCAGCUCCAAUAGCGUAUAUUAAAGUUGUUGCAGUUAAAAAGCUCGUAGUUGAAUUUCGAGAUCAAAUUGUUGGUCGUGCCUCGGUACGUACUGGCAUUAUUGAUUUCUCCCUUCUGAAGAACCACGAUGUCAUUAAUUUGGUGUCGUGGGGAAUCAGGACUGUUACUUUGAAAAAAUUAGAGUGUUUAAAGCAGGCUCACGCUUGAAUACAUUAGCAUGGAAUAAUGAAAUAGGACGUUUGAUUCUAUUUUGUUGGUUUCUAGGAUCGACGUAAUGAUUAAUAGGGAUAGUUGGGGGCAUUAGUAUUCAAUUGUCAGAGGUGAAAUUCUUGGAUUUAUUGAAGACUAACUACUGCGAAAGCAUUUGCCAAGGAUGUUUUCAUUAAUCAAGAACGAAAGUUAGGGGAUCGAAGACGAUCAGAUACCGUCGUAGUCUUAACCAUAAACUAUGCCGACUAG
This 475-nucleotide ribosomal RNA is filed under the name uncultured Glomus. Its description in RNAcentral is "SSU rRNA". It matches the Rfam family "Eukaryotic small subunit ribosomal RNA", at positions 569 to 1049 of the family's 1831-position model. Lineage: Eukaryota; Fungi; Glomeromycota; Glomeromycetes; Glomerales; Glomeraceae. The record is from RNAcentral.